UUUAAAAUUUACCAAAUUUUACCACAAGAACCCCAACAUCCUAAAUCUUCUCUACCAAAUUUUACAAUUUUCUAAGCAUCAUAACUAUUUAUUUUCUUCAAAUUUCAAUAGCCAAAAUUCAGAAUUUCAAAUGCAAAUAGCCUAUAUUUAACAAUUUAUUUAUCAAAAUCCAACUAUUGAAAAUUUAUUAAAUUUUAACUAUAACUUUUAUACAUAUAAAUCUCAAACAUAUCCAAAAAUCAACAAUGAAAGAUGUACCAAACUCACCUGGAUAGAAGACAAAGUUGCUGCCCCUGCUCCUAUUCAUCAUCUUCCUCCCUUUCUCUCUCUAAUUU
This 335-nucleotide unclassified non-coding RNA is filed under the name Hevea brasiliensis (rubber tree). Lineage: Eukaryota; Viridiplantae; Streptophyta; Magnoliopsida; Malpighiales; Euphorbiaceae. The record is from RNAcentral.